GGGGGGAGGCUAUACAUGCAGUCGUACGCUUCUUUUUCCACCGGAGCUUGCUCCACCGGAAAAAGAAGAGUGGCGAACGGGUGAGUAACACGUGGGUAACCUGCCCAUCAGAAGGGGAUAACACUUGGAAACAGGUGCUAAUACCGUAUAACAAUCGAAACCGCAUGGUUUUGAUUUGAAAGGCGCUUUCGGGUGUCGCUGAUGGAUGGACCCGCGGUGCAUUAGCUAGUUGGUGAGGUAACGGCUCACCAAGGCCACGAUGCAUAGCCGACCUGAGAGGGUGAUCGGCCACAUUGGGACUGAGACACGGCCCAAACUCCUACGGGAGGCAGCAGUAGGGAAUCUUCGGCAAUGGACGAAAGUCUGACCGAGCAACGCCGCGUGAGUGAAGAAGGUUUUCGGAUCGUAAAACUCUGUUGUUAGAGAAGAACAAGGAUGAGAGUAACUGUUCAUCCCUUGACGGUAUCUAACCAGAAAGCCACGGCUAACUACGUGCCAGCAGCCGCGGUAAUACGUAGGUGGCAAGCGUUGUCCGGAUUUAUUGGGCGUAAAGCGAGCGCAGGCGGUUUCUUAAGUCUGAUGUGAAAGCCCCCGGCUCAACCGGGGAGGGUCAUUGGAAACUGGGAGACUUGAGUGCAGAAGAGGAGAGUGGAAUUCCAUGUGUAGCGGUGAAAUGCGUAGAUAUAUGGAGGAACACCAGUGGCGAAGGCGGCUCUCUGGUCUGUAACUGACGCUGAGGCUCGAAAGCGUGGGGAGCAAACAGGAUUAAUCGGGGUGGGUUCAAAAAAAAAAACCGCCGCUGUGGAAACGGUCAGAGAAUCAGG
RNAcentral lists this ribosomal RNA (824 nucleotides) under Enterococcus lactis. Its description in RNAcentral is "bacterial SSU rRNA". It matches the Rfam family "Bacterial small subunit ribosomal RNA", at positions 39 to 839 of the family's 1533-position model. Lineage: Bacteria; Bacillati; Bacillota; Bacilli; Lactobacillales; Enterococcaceae. The record is from RNAcentral.